This 359-nucleotide small RNA is filed under the name Histoplasma ohiense. Its description in RNAcentral is "hypothetical lncRNA". Lineage: Eukaryota; Fungi; Ascomycota; Eurotiomycetes; Onygenales; Ajellomycetaceae. The record is from RNAcentral.
UGCAAAUCUCGAAGCGCUGAGGGGCAGAGAAUGAAUGACACCCCGCCUGGGGUCGGAUUUCAAUUCAAGCCGAAGCCGUAGUCUUCUGGCGGUGCGGGCAGGGGGAAUAUCCCCGAUCCGGCGCGCAUGAUUAUCCACAGCCGAAAAGGCAUGGAUUUAAAAAGAUAAAAAAAAUAAAAAAUAAAAAAUAAAUGAGUAGCAUAGUCUCUCUGCCAGAUUGACGUUUUGUGGCAUUUCAAUUCCCAGGCAAAGGAGCAUCGAUAGAUGGAUGGCUGGAUGGCUGGAUAGACGGGUGGAUGAUCUUGGAUAGGGAGAAUGGCGGAUUGAAUUCCAAUGCCAGCCAAGAUCUCAACAACCGA